GAUGAACGCUGGCGGCGUGCCUAAUACAUGCAAGUCGAGCGAACGGACGAGAAGCUUGCUUCUCUGAUGUUAGCGGCGGACGGGUGAGUAACACGUGGAUAACCUACCUAUAAGACUGGGAUAACUUCGGGAAACCGGGGCUAAUACCGGAUAAUAUUUUGAACCGCAUGGUUCAAAAGUGAAAGACGGUCUUGCUGUCACUUAUAGAUGGAUCCGCGCUGCAUUAGCUAGAUGGUAAGGUAACGGCUUACCAAGGCAACGAUGCAUAGCCGACCUGAGAGGGUGAUAGGCCGCCUGGGAACUGAGACACGGUCCAGGCUCCUACGGGAGGCAGCAGUAGGGAAUCGUCCGCAAUGGGCGAAAGCCUGACGGAGCAACGCCGCGUGAGUGAUGAAGGUCUUCGGAUCGUAAAAAUCUGUUAUUAGGGAAGAACAUAUGUGUAAGGAAAUGUGCACAUCUUGACGGUAACUAAUCAGAAAGCCACGGCUAACUACGUG
This 497-nucleotide ribosomal RNA is filed under the name uncultured bacterium. RNAcentral describes it as "partial 16S ribosomal RNA". It matches the Rfam family "Bacterial small subunit ribosomal RNA", at positions 28 to 507 of the family's 1533-position model. The record is from RNAcentral.